Molecule: ribosomal RNA, 155 nt
Filed under: uncultured bacterium
Lineage: Bacteria
Description: partial 16S ribosomal RNA
Rfam family: Bacterial small subunit ribosomal RNA
Source: RNAcentral
UGAGGAAUAUUGGACAAUGGGCGCAAGCCUGAUCCAGCCAUGCCGCGUGCAGGAUGACGGUCCUAUGGAUUGUAAACUGCUUUUGUACAGGAAGAAACACUCCGACGUGUCGGAGCUUGACGUACUGUAAGAAUAAGGAUCGGCUAACUCCGUGC